Non-coding RNA from Stegastes partitus (bicolor damselfish), 400 nucleotides. The record is from the annotation of a RefSeq genome assembly. NCBI's taxonomy places the organism in Eukaryota, Metazoa, Chordata, Actinopteri, Pomacentridae.
CAGUAUGUAAACCAACAUAACAGAUAGUGUGUGGAAGAUGCUGUCACUGCAUUACUGGGUCAUUGUUCCUUUGUUGGUGAUCAUAUUAAAAGGUGUCAGCUGUCAAGAACUGACCGCAGUGAAGAAUGAAGAGUCCAAUUUAAAAGGCAGCACUGUCACUUUGACCUACAAAUACUCCAGCACUAUCGUUGCUUCUGAUGAUUUCUUCUGGUAUCAACAACAUCCAGGAAAACCUCCAGAGUUCCUCCUGUAUCUGUCAGGUUUGAACAGUUCAAGAGCAGCAGAGUCUCUGAAAUCAUUAGCAAGGUUCUCCACGAUACUAUUUGGAGAAAAACGUCUGGAUAUGAAGAUCUCCUCUGCUGCAGUGACAGACUCUGCUGUGUACUACUGUGCUGUGAGG